Molecule: ribosomal RNA, 543 nt
Filed under: uncultured Glomeromycotina
Lineage: Eukaryota; Fungi; Glomeromycota
Description: SSU rRNA
Rfam family: Eukaryotic small subunit ribosomal RNA
Source: RNAcentral
UUGGAGGGCAAGUCUGGUGCCAGCAGCCGCGGUAAUUCCAGCUCCAAUAGCGUAUAUUAAAGUUGUUGCAGUUAAAAAGCUCGUAGUUGAACUUCGGGGUCUACCCAUUGGUCAGGCUUAAUUGUCUGCACUGGUGAGAUGGAUCUCUACCUUCUGAGGAACUUUCAUGCCAUUUAUUUGGUGUGAUGGGAAAUCAGGACUGUUACUUUGAAAAAAUUAGAGUGUUUAAAGCAGACUAUCGUCUGAAUACAUUAGCAUGGAAUAAUGAAAUAGGACGGACUGAUUCUAUUUCGUUGGUUUCUAGGAUCACCGUAAUGAUUAAUAGGGAUAGUUGGGGGCAUUAGUAUUCAAUUGUCAGAGGUGAAAUUCUUGGAUUUAUUGAAGACUAACUACUGCGAAAGCAUUUGCCAAGGAUGUUUUCAUUAAUCAAGAACGAAAGUUAGGGGAUCGAAGACGAUCAGAUACCGUCGUAGUCUAAACCAUAAACUAUGCCGACUAGGGAUCGGACGAAGUUAAUUUUAUAAUGACGCGUUCGGCGCCUUA